AUUGAACGCUGGCGGCAGGCUUAACACAUGCAAAUCGAGCGGAGAUGAGGUGCUUGCACCUUAUCUUAGCGGCGGACGGGUGAGUAAUGCUUAGGAAUCUGCCAUUUAGUGGGGGACAACAUUCCGAAAGGAAUGCUAAUACCGCAUACGUCCUACGGGAGAAAGCAGCGGAUCUUCGGACCUUGCGCUAAAUGAUGAGCCUAAGUCGGAUUAGCUAGUUGGUGGGGUAAAGGCCUACCAAGGCGACGAUCUGUAGCGGGUCUGAGAGGAUGAUCCGCCACACUGGGACUGAGACACGGCCCAGACUCCUACGGAGGCAGCAGUGGGGAAUAUUGGACAAUGGGCGGAAGCCUGAUCCAGCCAUGCCGCGUGUGUGAAGAAGGCCUUUUGGUUGUAAAGCACUUUAAGCGAGGAGGAGGCUACUAGUACUAAUACUACUGGAUAGUGGACGUUACUCGCAGAAUAAGCACCGGCUAACUCUGUGCCAGCAGCCGCCGUAA
This 500-nucleotide ribosomal RNA is filed under the name uncultured bacterium. Its description in RNAcentral is "partial 16S ribosomal RNA". It matches the Rfam family "Bacterial small subunit ribosomal RNA", at positions 30 to 523 of the family's 1533-position model. The record is from RNAcentral.